GGCGGCAGGCCUAACACAUGCAAGUCGAACGGUAACAGGAAGAAGCUUGCUUCUUUGCUGACGAGUGGCGGACGGGUGAGUAAUGUCUGGGAAACUGCCUGAUGGAGGGGGAUAACUACUGGAAACGGUAGCUAAUACCGCAUAACGUCGCAAGACCAAAGAGGGGGACCUUCGGGCCUCUUGCCAUCGGAUGUGCCCAGAUGGGAUUAGCUUGUUGGUGGGGUAACGGCUCACCAAGGCGACGAUCCCUAGCUGGUCUGAGAGGAUGACCAGCCACACUGGAACUGAGACACGGUCCAGACUCCUACGGGAGGCAGCAGUGGGGAAUAUUGCACAAUGGGCGCAAGCCUGAUGCAGCCAUGCCGCGUGUAUGAAGAAGGCCUUCGGGUUGUAAAGUACUUUCAGCGGGGAGGAAGGGAGUAAAGUUAAUACCUUUGCUCAUUGACGUUACCCGCAGAGGAAGCACCGGCUAACUCCGUGCCAGCAGCCGCGGUAAUACGGAGGGUGCAAGCGUUAAUCGGAAUUACUGGGCGUAAAGCGCACGCAGGCGGUUUGUUAAGUCAGAUGUGAAAUCCCCGGGGCUCAACCUGGGAACUGCAUCUGAUACUGGCAAGCUUGAGUCUCGUAGAGGGGGGUAGAAUUCCAGGUGUAGCGGUGAAAUGCGUAGAGAUCUGGAGGAAUACCGGUGGCGAAGGCGGCCCCCUGGACGAAGACUGACGCUCAGGUGCGAAAGCGUGGGGAGCAAACAGGAUUAGAUACCCUGGUAGUCCACGCCGUAAACGAUGUCGACUUGGAGGUUGUGCCCUUGAGGCGUGGCUUCCGGAGCUAACGCGUUAAGUCGACCGCCUGGGGAGUACGGCCGCAAGGUUAAAACUCAAAUGAAUUGACGGGGGCCCGCACAAGCGGUGGAGCAUGUGGUUUAAUUCGAUGCAACGCGAAGAACCUUACCUGGUCUUGACAUCCACAGAACUUUCCAGAGAUGGAUUGGUGCCUUCGGGAACUGUGAGACAGGUGCUGCAUGGCUGUCGUCAGCUCGUGUUGUGAAAUGUUGGGUUAAGUCCCGCAACGAGCGCAACCCUUAUCCUUUGUUGCCAGCGGUCCGGCCGGGAACUCAAAGGAGACUGCCAGUGAUAAACUGGAGGAAGGUGGGGAUGACGUCAAGUCAUCAUGGCCCUUACGACCAGGGCUACACACGUGCUACAAUGGCGCAUACAAAGAGAAGCGACCUCGCGAGAGCAAGCGGACCUCAUAAAGUGCGUCGUAGUCCGGAUUGGAGUCUGCAACUCGACUCCAUGAAGUCGGAAUCGCUAGUAAUCGUGGAUCAGAAUGCCACGGUGAAUACGUUCCCGGGCCUUGUACACACCGCCCGUCACACCAUGGGAGUGGGUUGCAAAAGAAGUAGGUAGCUUAACCUUCGGGAGGGCGCUUACCACUUUGUGAUUCAUGACUGGGGUGA
RNAcentral lists this ribosomal RNA (1456 nucleotides) under uncultured organism. RNAcentral's name for it is "SSU rRNA". It matches the Rfam family "Bacterial small subunit ribosomal RNA". The record is from RNAcentral.